RNAcentral lists this ribosomal RNA (482 nucleotides) under uncultured bacterium. Its description in RNAcentral is "partial 16S ribosomal RNA". It matches the Rfam family "Bacterial small subunit ribosomal RNA", at positions 30 to 507 of the family's 1533-position model. The record is from RNAcentral.
AUUGAACGCUGGCGGCAUGCCUUACACAUGCAAGUCGAACGGUAACAGGUCUUCGGCUGCUGCCGAGUGGCGAACGGGUGAGUAAUACAUCGGAACGUGCCCGAUCGUGGGGGAUAACGAGGCGAAAGCUUUGCUAAUACCGCAUACGAUCUACGGAUGAAAGCGGGGGAUCUUCGGACCUCGCGCGGACGGAGCGGCCGAUGGCAGAUUAGGUAGUUGGUGGGAUAAAAGCUUACCAAGCCGACGAUCUGUAGCUGGUCUGAGAGGAUGAUCAGCCACACUGGGACUGAGACACGGCCCAGACUCCUACGGGAGGCAGCAGUGGGGAAUUUUGGACAAUGGGCGAAAGCCUGAUCCAGCCAUGCCGCGUGCAGGAUGAAGGCCUUCGGGUUGUAAACUGCUUUUGUACGGAACGAAAAGCCUCUUUCUAAUAAAGAGGGGUCAUGACGGUACCGUAAGAAUAAGCACCGGCUAACUACGUG